Molecule: ribosomal RNA, 119 nt
Filed under: Pteropus alecto (black flying fox)
Lineage: Eukaryota; Metazoa; Chordata; Mammalia; Chiroptera; Pteropodidae
Source: RNAcentral
GUCUACGGCCAUGCCACCCUGAACAAGCCCGAUCCCGUCUGAUCUCGGAAGCUAAGCAAGGUCGGGUCUGGUUAGUACUUGGAUGGGAGACCACCUAGGAAGACUAGGUGCUGUAGGAG